Molecule: ribosomal RNA, 416 nt
Filed under: uncultured bacterium
Lineage: Bacteria
Description: bacterial SSU rRNA
Rfam family: Bacterial small subunit ribosomal RNA
Source: RNAcentral
AUUGAACGCUGGCGGAAUGCUUUACACAUGCAAGUCGAGCGGCAGCGCGGGGGCGAACCCUGGCGGCGGAGCGGCGAACGGGUGAGUAACAUAUCGGAACGUACCCAGUCGUGGGGGAUAACUAUCCGAAAGGAUAGCUAAUACCGCAUACGUCCUGAGGGAGAAAGCGGGGGAUCGCAAGACCUCGCGCGAUUGGAGCGGCCGAUAUCGGAUUAGCUAGUUGGUGGGGUAAAGGCUCACCAAGGCGACGAUCCGUAGCGGGUCUGAGAGGACGACCCGCCACACUGGAACUGAGACACGGUCCAGACUCCUACGGGAGGCAGCAGUGGGGAAUUUUGGACAAUGGGGGCAACCCUGAUCCAGCCAUUCCGCGUGAGUGAAAGAAGGGCCUUCGGNGUUUAAAGGCUCUUUCCUAG